AGAGUUUGAUCCUGGCUCAGAACGAACGCUGGCGGCAGGCUUAACACAUGCAAGUCGAGCGGGCCCGCAAGGGUCAGCGGCGGACGGGUUAGUAGCGCGUGGGAACGUGCCUUCUGCUCUGGAAUAGCCCUGGGAAACUGGGGGUAAUACCGGAUGUGCCCUGAGGGGGAAAGGUUUACUGGCAGGAGAUCGGCCCGCGUCGGAUUAGCUAGUUGGUGGGGUGACGGCCCACCAAGGCGACGAUCCGUAGCUGGUCUGAGAGGAUGAUCAGCCACACUGGGACUGAGACACGGCCCAGACUCCUACGGGAGGCAGCAGUGGGGAAUAUUGGACAAUGGGCGCAAGCCUGAUCCAGCCAUGCCGCGUGAGUGAAGAAGGCCUUAGGGUUGUAAAGCUCUUUUCAGCGGGGACGAUAAUGACGGUACCCGCAGAAGAAGCCCCGGCUAACUUCGUGCCAGCAGCCGCGGUAAUACGAAGGGGGCUAGCGUUGUUCGGAAUUACUGGGCGUAAAGCGCGCGUAGGCGGACAUUUAAGUCAGGGGUGAAAUCCCGGGGCUCAACCUCGGAACUGCCUUUGAUACUGGGUGUCUGGAGUCCGGAAGAGGUUGGUGGAAUUCCGAGUGUAGAGGUGAAAUUCGUAGAUAUUCGGAGGAACACCAGAGGCGAAGGCGGCCAACUGGUCCGGUACUGACGCUGAGGCGCGAAAGCGUGGGGAGCAAACAGGAUUAGAUACCCUAGUAGUCC
This 743-nucleotide ribosomal RNA is filed under the name uncultured bacterium. Its description in RNAcentral is "bacterial SSU rRNA". It matches the Rfam family "Bacterial small subunit ribosomal RNA", at positions 8 to 796 of the family's 1533-position model. The record is from RNAcentral.